CAGCCGCCGCGGGAAUACGUAGGUGGCAAGCGUUGUCCGGAAUUAUUGGGCGUAAAGGGCUCGCAGGCGGUUUCUUAAGUCUGAUGUGAAAGCCCCCGGCUCAACCGGGGAGGGUCAUUGGAAACUGGGAAACUUGAGUGCAGAAGAGGAGAGUGGAAUUCCACGUGUAGCGGUGAAAUGCGUAGAGAUGUGGAGGAACACCAGUGGCGAAGGCGACCCUCCGGUCUGUAACUGACGCUGAGGAGCGAAAGCGUGGGGAGCGAACAGGAUUAGAUACCCCGGUAGUCCCUGUCUCUUAUAC
Molecule: ribosomal RNA, 301 nt
Filed under: uncultured bacterium
Lineage: Bacteria
Description: partial 16S ribosomal RNA
Rfam family: Bacterial small subunit ribosomal RNA
Source: RNAcentral